RNAcentral lists this transfer RNA (75 nucleotides) under Tenacibaculum sp. MAR_2010_89. RNAcentral describes it as "tRNA_Gln_TTG". It matches the Rfam family "tRNA". From Rfam's summary of the family: Transfer RNA (tRNA) molecules are approximately 80 nucleotides in length. Their secondary structure includes four short double-helical elements and three loops (D, anti-codon, and T loops). The record is from RNAcentral. RNAcentral also lists the same sequence under 2 other names. Lineage: Bacteria; Pseudomonadati; Bacteroidota; Flavobacteriia; Flavobacteriales; Flavobacteriaceae.
AAACCUGUGAUGUAAUGGUUAGCAUACAAGAUUUUGAUUCUUGUUGUAUAGGUUCAAAUCCUAUCAGGUUUACAA